Molecule: ribosomal RNA, 497 nt
Filed under: uncultured bacterium
Lineage: Bacteria
Description: partial 16S ribosomal RNA
Rfam family: Bacterial small subunit ribosomal RNA
Source: RNAcentral
GAUGAACGCUGGCGGCGUGCCUAAUACAUGCAAGUCGAGCGAACAGACGAGGAGCUUGCUCCUUUGACGUUAGCGGCGGACGGGUGAGUAACACGUGUGUAACCUACCUAUAAGACUGGGAUAACUUCGGGAAACCGGCGCUAAUACCGGAUAAUAUUUCGAACCGCAUGGUUCGAUAGUGAAAGAUGGCUCUGCUGUCACUUAUAGAUGGAUCUGCGCCGUAUUAGCUAGUUGGUAAGGUAACGGCUUACCAAGGCAACGAUACGUAGCCGACGUGAGAGGGUGAUCGGCCACACUAGAACUGAGACACGGUCCAGACGCCUAAGAGAGGCAGCAGUAGGGAAUCUUACGCAAUGGGCGAAAACCUGGCGGAGCAACGCCGCGUGAGUGAUGAAGGUCUUCGGAUCGUAAAACUCUGUUAUUAGGGAAGAACAAACGUGUAAGUAACUGUGCACGUCUUGACGGUAACUAAUCAGAAAGCCACGGCUAACUACGUG